RNAcentral lists this ribosomal RNA (429 nucleotides) under Actinomycetes bacterium. RNAcentral describes it as "Actinobacteria bacterium partial 16S ribosomal RNA". It matches the Rfam family "Bacterial small subunit ribosomal RNA", at positions 355 to 776 of the family's 1533-position model. The record is from RNAcentral. Lineage: Bacteria; Bacillati; Actinomycetota; Actinomycetes.
UAGGGAAUCUUCCGCAAUGGGCGAAAGCCUGACGGAGCAACGCCGCGUGAGUGAUGAAGGUCUUCGGAUCGUAAAACUCUGUUAUUAGGGAAGAACAAAUGUGUAAGUAACUAUGCACGUCUUGACGGUACCUAAUCAGAAAGCCACGGCUAACUACGUGCCAGCAGCCGCGGUAAUACGUAGGUGGCAAGCGUUAUCCGGAAUUAUUGGGCGUAAAGCGCGCGUAGGCGGUUUUUUAAGUCUGAUGUGAAAGCCCACGGCUCAACCGUGGAGGGUCAUUUGAAACUGGAAAACUUGAGUGCAGAAGAGGAAAGUGGAAGUCCAUGUGUAGCGGUGAAAUGCGCAGAUAUAUGGAGGAACACCAGUAGCGAAGGCGACUUUCUGGUCUGUAACUGACGCUGAUGUGCGAAAGCGUGGGGAUCAAACAGG